Molecule: long non-coding RNA, 344 nt
Organism: Oncorhynchus tshawytscha (Chinook salmon)
Lineage: Eukaryota; Metazoa; Chordata; Actinopteri; Salmoniformes; Salmonidae
Source: Ensembl
CACACACAUUCUCAUACACAGGACUGGAUGCAUCGUCUUCUAUCAACAGGAGGGAUGAGUCAGAGAACACACACAUUCUCAUACACAGGACUGGAUGCAGUCGGAAACAUACGGACACACAGAAAGAAAGGCAGAUGCAGGCUUGCGCUCGCUCACGCUCACACACACACACACACACACACACACACACACACACACACACACACACACACACACAUAGGCACGCUCACACACACACAGGCACGCUGAGACACACAUAGGCAAGCUCACACACACACAAAGGCACGCUCACACACACAGGCACUCUCACUCACACACUCAGGCACGCUCACUCGAUCACGCAC